UGGGGAAUUUUGGACAAUGGGCGAAAGCCUGAUCCAGCAAUGCCGCGUGUGUGAAGAAGGCCUUCGGGUUGUAAAGCACUUUUGUCCGGAAAGAAAUCCUUGGCUCUAAUACAGUCGGGGGAUGACGGUACCGGAAGAAUAAGCACCGGCUAACUACGUGCCAGCAGCCGCGGUAAUACGUAGGGUGCAAGCGUUAAUCGGAAUUACUGGGCGUAAAGCGUGCGCAGGCGGUUUGCUAAGACCGAUGUGAAAUCCCCGGGCUCAACCUGGGAACUGCAUUGGUGACUGGCAGGCUAGAGUAUGGCAGAGGGGGGUAGAAUUCCACGUGUAGCAAUGAAAUGCGUAGAGAUGUGGAGGAAUACCGAUGGCGAAGGCAGCCCCCUGGGCCAAUACUGACGCUCAUGCACGAAAGCGUGGGGAGCAAACAGGAUUAGAUACCCUGGUAGUCCACGCCCUAAAACGAUGUCAACUAGUUGUUGGGGAUUCAUUUCCUUAGUAACGUAGCUAACGCGUGAAGUUGACCGCCUGGGGAGUACGGUCGCAAGAUUAAAACUCAAAGGAAUUGACGGGGUCAUAGCUGUUUCCU
RNAcentral lists this ribosomal RNA (586 nucleotides) under uncultured bacterium. RNAcentral describes it as "partial 16S ribosomal RNA". It matches the Rfam family "Bacterial small subunit ribosomal RNA", at positions 355 to 1375 of the family's 1533-position model. The record is from RNAcentral.